This 427-nucleotide ribosomal RNA is filed under the name uncultured bacterium. RNAcentral describes it as "partial 16S ribosomal RNA". It matches the Rfam family "Bacterial small subunit ribosomal RNA", at positions 355 to 774 of the family's 1533-position model. The record is from RNAcentral.
UGGGGAAUAUUGGACAAUGGGCGCAAGCCUGAUCCAGCCAUACCGCGUGGGUGAAGAAGGCCUUCGGGUUGUAAAGCCCUUUUGUUGGGAAAGAAAUCCAGCUGGUUAAUACCCGGUUGGGAUGACGGUACCCAAAGAAUAAGCACCGGCUAACUUCGUGCCAGCAGCCGCGGUAAUACGAAGGGUGCAAGCGUUACUCGGAAUUACUGGGCGUAAAGCGUGCGUAGGUGGUCGUUUAAGUCCGUUGUGAAAGCCCUGGGCUCAACCUGGGAACUGCAGUGGAUACUGGGCGACUAGAAUGUGGUAGAGGGUAGCGGAAUUCCUGGUGUAGCAGUGAAAUGCGUAGAGAUCAGGAGGAACAUCCAAGGCGAAGGCAGCUACCUGGACCAACAUUGACACUGAGGCACGAAAGCGUGGGGAGCAAACA